Molecule: long non-coding RNA, 9074 nt
Organism: Arvicola amphibius (Eurasian water vole)
Lineage: Eukaryota; Metazoa; Chordata; Mammalia; Rodentia; Cricetidae
Exons: 2
Source: RefSeq, a predicted model, not a curated record
CACAAAUUCUAAUAGGUUUCAAUAAUAAAAGCCUGGAGUCAGCUAUCAGGGAAAAUGCUGAACUAUCAGAGACAAAGGAUUAAAACUGCAGCCACUUUACCUCUCCUGUUUCCAUCUGAAAAGGAACUGAGUUCCUGUUUCCUCCUGGCUUAUCACUUUGUUUUUCUCCCGAGUCAUAUCACUUCCUGACUCUAUAGACAGACAUUCACACCAUCAUGAUUAGCUAGUGGCUAGUUCUACCAUCUGAUCUUCAGGCAAGCUGUAGUUGUACAAACAAGAUAUCACCACGUUUACUCUUUGUAUAAAAAUUAAAAAGGAAGUUUAUAGCUAAUAUAAGAAAAAUUAUAUACAGUAAGUACAAUAGCUGUUUUGUUGUUGAUACUCUUGUCUAUAGUACCUUUAGAACUAGCAUUUAUUAAAAUACUUCUUGAAAGACUAGGGAUGCCAUGCAUAUGUGUCACAUCUCACUUAGUGAAAGGCACCAUGGUUUGUGUGAUGAUAUUCUACCUUGUGUACGAAAAAUAGGUUUUAAGUGUUAGUGGUCAUUGUUGUACAUUAUGAAUUGUCAAUGACAGUCCAAUUUGAAGUGAGCUAAAAUGUGAGAAAAAGAGAAUCUUAAAUUGAGCACCGUACCAUAUGAAGAACAUUAAUUAAGGUAGCUUUCUUAACAAAGGGGACCCUGUCUCGAUUUAAAUAAAAACAAACAAAAAGCAUUUUAGCCUCUCUGACAUAUAUAAACAAAUUUGGAAGUCUUUGUAAAGUAUAUAAUUGUUGUUUACUUGAAAUGUUUAUGACACUGUAAUAUUAAUAAUUUAAAUGUCUACCAUGUUAAGCUGUUGUGCAAAAAUCCAUCCAGAGUGGUUGCAAAGAUUCUCAUUGAUAUAUCAUAAUAUGCUAAGAGAGGAGUUAUUUUAUUCCCCAUUUCAAGGAUAAGGGAAUCAACAACAAAAUGUGAAUGCAUGGCAAUCUUUACUUUGCUUUUUACAAAACUUCAAGCCAAAGGAAACUUGUAUUCAUAUAAGUGUGCCUUAUUCUUGACAAUAGCUAAACUCAUAGAAUAUAUAGAAAUCAGAUAUUUGCUAUGCUUAAUGUUAGUAUCUAGUAGCAGUUUCACAAGGGAGAUUUAGGACACUUUGGGCCACUUUGAGAUGGACUCGAAUUAGAAAAGGAAGAUGAGAUUGCUGCUUCGUAAGUUAUGAAACUUCUCGAAAGCUUUUAGAACAUCUCUAUUUUGUGGUAGUCCCUGAUCAUGGGGGAGGGAGUAUAACAGAGAUAUCUCAUGUGUGGCUGAGCAUUCCACUGUUAUUUAAUUCCUGUAUUUUGAACAAUUGUGAGUUUCUCUGUUAACCAUGCUACACUGCACAAAAACCUGAUGAGACUGGACAUCUGAAUAAACAUAAAAAUUUGGUGGCAGUUUGGUACUCUGUCCAUUUAUCAUAACAGUAGUAGGUUCAUCCAUAGGGACAGCGAACUCUACAACUCUUGGCCCAUGGCCAAAUUUACAGUACUUUUUUUUAGUUCAACUAAUUUUCAGUAUUAAGUAGUAAAAAAACAUCAUACACAUGAAUAUACAGAUUUUUGGAAAAAAACAAGGAAGCUCUUUGGGAAACAAAGAAAUAGCCAGCAUGAUAUCCAACAAUGACACUCCUGGGUACAGAUCCAAGGGACACAGAACCAGCAUCUCAGAAGUUGAUUCAUGUGUUCACAGCUGUGGCAUUCACAGUAACCAAGGAAUGGGAAUCACCAAGUGUCUGUCUGCUGGUGAAUAGGAAAGACAUGGAACAGCAACACACUAGGAAAUUCCUCAGCCAUCCCAACCUCCAGUUACAAAAUGAGACACAGUGCUGGAUUUCAGCAAAUACAGAACAUGGUUGCUUCAUGAAUACCAGUAAUUUAUAACUUAAAUUGUGCUUUCUAAUAAUGUCCCUCUUAUUCUUGUUCAUCACAGUGAUAACUAUGCUGCAUCAUGUGUCAGUUCUAAUGCAGAUGUUCAGGGUAAAAUCUGGGUUCUUUAUACACUGGAAAUGAUAGUGGAAGAUCUGAAUCCCCACCAAAAACCCUAGUGCACCAAGGCUCACACUACUUCUACUGUCAGAGACAUAAAGAAACAGGUCAUGAGAGAGAAUAGGCUAAUGAAAAAUACACAAAUGUCACUAUAGGGAUCAUUUAACCCAAAUCACGCUUAGGUGUGAGUUUCAACACACAACUUGCACAACAGUGUACCUAUUGAUGUUACUAUGGUUACCUCGAAAAUUUACUUCCCUUGAAGUUCUCAUUCCAAGAUUUGAAUCAGGUUUGGCCAGAAUUUCUCCUUUCACCCACAAGGGAGGGUGAUACUUUGAGUAGAGGGAACAACAUCUCACAAUAAUGAAUGACACAGGUUACUCUGUGCCCUAAUAUUUCCACAUAGAACCCGUGUUCUAUCUCUGAUGUCCAGCUUCAUCCACAAUAGUCUGUGCAGGAGAGAGCAAUAUGGCAAAACUUAGGAACCAGCAAUGGCCACUCCUUCACCUGCUGUAACAGCCUGUCCUUCCGUCAGGCACUCUGACUUCCCACUAUCUCCAGAUGACACCCGGAACUCCUCAUGAUCAUGAGCCAUGAUGCCCUUUGGGAUUCCCAGAAUGCAGUGAGGUGAACCUUCUGUGAUGUCACAGGUAAAUCCCUGCCCUAGAAACAGCAGUGUUCUUUGCCUGAGGACUACACAGUGUCCACCAAGGAGGGUUGGGAUUCAAAGACAGCCCAUGUGUCUGGGUAAGUUUGGGCUGUUUUGUGGGAGGAACAAUACCUGAAAUUCAGUACGUGAGUGACUCACUCAGUGUGAGGCACUUCUUCAUCAGAACCUUUAAUAUGGAGACUAAACAGAGUGAGGGACUGGAAAUGUUUCUGCCUAAGGACAGUUCAUUCUAUGCAGGAUAAAAAAGAGCAAGGAUGAGAAGUCUCAUAACAGUGUGACUAGACCCCAAAGACCACAGGGAAAGAAAUUCUCAUCUCACCAGAGAGAGGGGCCUUGUAAAGGAGCUGCACAGGUGUCAAUGGUGCAGGAAGGAUGAACAUUGCUGCUUGCUGCCCACAUUAGACCUUCACUCAGAGCUUGUCCAGGGAAGGGAGGAAAAGCAUCCAGGGUACUGAUGUCUGCUUCACUAAGGACUUCUUUUGUAUCAAUAUUUUCAUGUGUACUCAUAGCUGACACAAUAUUCGAACAAACAUUACUGCCACUGUCAUAAGAAACAUCAUGGCAGCACUAUACUGUCUAAUUCUCUACUUCUGAACCUGGUUUUUACCUUUAUGUCCUCGUGUCUGCAGGUUUAUAUCAUAGGUAAGAAAUAACUUAGAGAGGACACUGAAUGCUUUCCCAUAUCUUCCCUACCAAAGAACACAUUGUUAUAAGAGUCAGGGUGAUAUUAUAUUAAUACUUUGUUACUAGGAUGACCUCACCACAUGGACAGCCUUCUACUUUCCUGGGACAGUGUGCUCAGCACAGUGUGGGAAAGCAUCGUUGUUCCUUUUGCUACACUCAGACAGACAGGAAGAAGCUGGACAGAGGUGUGGUUGUGCCUCUAUUACCUCAUAAAAUAUCUCAUUGCCAAGGAAAAGGUUAUGGUGUUGAUGGGGGAACCCUGUGUCUAUGGGGGUGGACUGGAUUUCAGUAGGAAUUGCUGUUAUGCUGUGAGGUUUGAGCUAUGUGGGGGAAGACAUACAUGCAGGAAAUAUGAGAAGGCAACCUAAUUAAACAUCACUGUGUUAUACUGGGAAGUGGAAAAUGAAAAAAGGGCAUGAAAACAAUGUGUUUUUGAGGUGCCGUUUUUGAUAUAGGCUUUCUCUGAGUAGUUUUGGAACCUGUCUUGAAACUAGCUCCUACAGACCAGGCUGGCCUCAAACUCACAGAGAUCCACCUGUCUCUGCCUCCCGUGUACUGGGAUUAAAGUCAUGUGCCACCACAGCCCAGCCAAGGUGCCUUUUAACAAGACCUGUGCCAUAGCAGUAGAACUAAUUUAUCUAUUAUGAUGUAUGCUGAGGAACUUGCCAAACAAGGAUUCAUGGAGAUGACACCCACAACUGACCAGAGAAUGAGGUCAAGGGAUGACAACACCCAAACUAUAACAUUGGUACGGAAUAAAGCCUGUUGUUGUUCUUCAAGUCUGGUCAACUGUCAGCUAUGGCAGCCCACAGUGUCCAGGGCAUGUGGGAAAUGCUUCACAGACUGCUACUGUAGGGGUUCUGAAGGGACUUCGCUUCUUUCUGUCAUUAAUCUUCUCAUUUCUAACUAGGGAUUGGACCACUACAACUGAAGUUAGAGCCAGAAUAUAAAACAGAGCUAAAACCAUCUUUCUAACCCCAAACCCUGCCCACCAUCCACAUUUAUAUUUAAAUGGUAUGUUAUAUAUAUGGACAUGUGCCUUCAGGUAUUAUAAGCAUUCAAGUAGGUGUAGGAGCAAAGACCUGAAUGAUGGUGACAGGGGCUCAAUGCAGUUCUUGACAUAUCCUGAUCUAACACACAGGAAUCUUGAUAGAAGCCAAAAGAGCAGUGAAUACAAGCCUGUUUGCAGAGUGACAUGCCAAACAAAAUAUCCAGGACAGGAACCUAUACAGUGGGAAGAAAAUGUCUAGAGAUGACCUGGUCUAGGACUCAAGAGUAGAACCUACAGAAGAUUAAUGAUCAACAGCAUACAGCAACAACUUGUGGCAAUCCCUCAAGGGGCACAUGCAGCACAAGGAGGACAGGAAGUGCUUCACUGGGACCUUCUCUUGGGCUUCUUCAGAUGUAAACUUUCCUGAAAACCACCAUAUUUAUUCAGGCCUUAGGCAUUCACUACUGGGCCAUAGACAGUAAUGUUACACUCUCAAUAUCGACAUUUUUACACUUGUAGUUUUAUUUAAGAAACUUGUGUUACUAUGUCUCUUAUCUGUGCAUGAAUCUCUACAUAGAUGUUCAUGUGUGAGGGUACUAUGUUCUUCAUUUCUACUGGUCUACACCUGUACUUUUUGAGAAAAGGUGAAAUCAGCUGAGGAAGCCACUACCUAUCUCAGGACUUCUGGUUCCAAACUUCAACAGGAGGAAGCUUUGCUUUUAUUCUGUUCUCCAGGGACUGACAUUCUCAGAAGUCAUCGGCUACAAUGACAGGGUCAUGUUUGGAAACUUCAUGAUAUCCUGUUUUCUAGGCAAUCCUACUUCAAGCUGUGUUCAAUGGUGGUGAUGGGAUGGAUUACAGGGCAAAUUUAACAGUCAGCUUGGUGCCCAGGAUCUAGCAGGUAGCAUACUCCAAUUCAGAGGUCUAUAUAAAUUUCCUGAUACCCCAGGAAUCAGAAAUGAUAGACCAAAAAUUAUACAUUGCACAUUUUAGAUGAGUUUGACUCGUGGCCACUGAACUUGCUCCUGCCAGAUGAGAAAGCCCCUAGAGGAGGAGGAGGACUGAAUGUGAGCUUGAUCCCAGGAUAUGGUCAGAAAAGCAGUCUUUAGGCACUUUCGUAAGUACAGAAAAGCUAACCUGAUAUGAACACUAAUGUAAAAGUGUUCAUCUUUUAUAUUACUUGUUUUUCUGAGUCAAUCGCUGAGCCUGAGGCAUCCCAGGCCCAAAGAAGGAAAGAUGUGGGCCUGGGUCGAUAGCUUACCCUGACAAGAUUGGGAAAAAUGAAGAAGAAAUGACAACCUGGGCCUAACAAUUACACUGAAGAGGCCUGAGUGCAAUAAAGAUGAGAUGUGGGCAUGGGUUUAACACUUGCCCUGAAGAAGCCUGGGCCCAAGGAAGAAGAGAUGUGGGCCUGGGCCUAACCUUACCGUGAAGAGGCCUGGGCCUAAUGAAGAAGAGAUAUGGGCCCGGGCCUAAAGUUUACCCUGAAGAGGCUUGGGCCUAAUGAAGAAUAGAUGUGGACCUGGGCUUAACCCUUACUCUGAAGAGGCCUGGGCUCAAAGAACAUAAGAUGUAGGCCUGGGCCUACUUUUGAUGCUGAAGAGCUCCAGGCAAAACAAGAAGAGAUGUAGGCCUGGGUCUCUUCCUAACCCAGAACAGGCUUGGGAAAAGAAAGGAUUGAACCUGGGCCAUUUCGUAACACUGAGGAUGCUUUGGCCCUAAGAAGAAAAGAUGUGGACCUGACCCAUCUUUAUCCAUGAAGAGGCUUGAGCCCCCCAAAACAAUGGGAUGUUGGUCUAUCAUUCACACUAAGAGGGCUUGACUUUAAGAAGGAAAAUGUGGCCCUUUGCCUGUUUUAAACUUGAAGAGACCCAGUCGAAAUGAAGGAAUGCAGGCCUGGUUCAUUCACUAAGCCUAAAGAGCCCUUGCCCUGAGUAAAAGAGAAAUGUGGGACUGGGCCUACUCUUGAAACCAAAAAGAUGAUAAAUGGGCUAGGGCAUAUUGCUAAACAUGAAGUCACAGCCCUAAAAUAAUAGAGAUGUUGGCUUGGGUGAAUCCCUAAUCCUCAAGAGGCUUAGGCCCAAAUAAAAGGAGAGGUGUGGUCCUGGGCCCAUUCCUAACACUGAAGACUCCUGGGCCCAUAAAGAUCUGUGUCUAUACCUCAUGCUGUAGAGUCCAGGGCCCAAAGCAAGAUGAGAUGGAGGUGAGAGCCUAUCUAUGAAUUCAAAGAGGCCCAGGCCCAAAGGAGAAGAGAUGAGUGUCUGGGGCUAUACCUGACCCUCAACAAGCAUGGGCCCAGAACAUGAAGACCUGUGGGAAAAUACAAAAUGAGCAAAAGCCAGGAGAACCAAACAAAAAGGAUUGUGCCUAUGGUAUAUCACAACCAGAAGCAUCCCAGGCCUAGAUCAAAUAGCCCUGGAACAAUUGACUCAGAUUCAUUCUCUUCCAAUAAGCCCUGGACAUAAAGAAGAGUGCCAAGGCCAAAACUAAAGAGAAUCAAAAUUGUGUUUAGACCAUGUACAUGAGCCACACUGGUCCUAGGUCUGAUUUUCUAUUUUAUAACCAGCUAAAACAUCUGUGCAGAUACAUCCCUGCUUGUUCAUCCAUAAUCUUGGCCUCGACUGCACUACUCUCUUUCUGAGUACUCAUGUAAGUUGACAUGCUCAAAAAAUAGGUGUGUGGAUCACACACACAUAUUUUAUUCAGUGCUGACCACAUUGAAUAUCAGCAAGUAUGAACCAUUGCCGUAAUGUGCCAGGGACUCACUGAAAUGAUAUGUCAAUAUAGAUAUAGCAUACAAGAAAAGAGUAUUAUACUGUGUCCUCUAGCUGUCUGAGACAUAAUCUUAAGAUCUUAAAUUUCUUUAGGAAUGAACAGUUCUCAAAUGUAACUCAUGCAAAAGCCUAUUUUUUAAAAAUUGCCGACUAAUGCAAAUUUGGUCUUUAUCUGAGUAACUGACUCCUGGUCACAUUAUAUCUUUCAAGAUUCAGAACUUGGUGAUGAUGUAACUACUAACCUAAAAGCAUGGCCAUGAACAGACCUCAAAGGAAAUGAAUCUGCUCCUGAACUGCAAGUACUCUGGGCUAUCAUCUUCAAGGGUGUGUGGGUCACACCCUUGCUCUAUGCAUUCCAGAACAAAAUCCCAAAACAGAGGAUCCAGGCCUUAAAGGGAACAAACCUCAUCUCAAUGAUCAAAGGAAAUGGACACCCCAUAUCCAUGACCAGGUCUAAAGCUAAGCAUUAUCUUCAUGUCAAUUUAUUUUGUUGGAUACACCAUAGCCUCAUCUGUGACCCAGGCCAUGCCAUGUUCACCAAGACAAUUGGAUUCUUCACCAAUGUGUGACAUCAGAUCAUAAGCCAUGAACUCAGAGCAAGAAGAAGUUCAUCUGAAAGCUCCUUUUGGUUCCAUUCUGGUUUGUGGGUUGUAUUCGUGAUUGUACCAACACAGGCAAAAUUCUCACAAAUGUGUUAAGGCAACCUCAUGGCUUUGAAAUAAUCUGGACCACACAUGAAUGUCCAAUGACAGGGACACUGCGGGCCGCACCCAGAACAUCUCUGUGUCCAGUUCAAGAAUAACAGUUUGACCUUGGUCUGACCCAGGGCAUGUACUACUAAAGGAAUGUCUACACACUCCUACCCUAUGAGUUGGUUGUCUAAAGAAUGAGAAAAGGACAAAGGCCAUAAACUGACAUCCAUGGGGCCCUGCCAGCUCCCUGAUUUCCAGUAAGUCAGGUCAAGAUUAAAUUUUAGGGUGUGAGGGCCAUACCCUCUCUUUACAAGACCAAGCACUUUGCUGACAGUGAGUCAGGACCACAAACCAUGGCCUUGAAUAUGAAAAGGACCCACUCUCAUUAAUGAUAAAAAAAACACGGUCAUAACUUAAUAUAAAGAGUGAUUACAUGGCACAUGGCCCUAUACUGAUUUUAACUGAUUUUUACCUGAGGCUAGACUAUAUUCACCAAACAUUUUAAAUGCAGAAGGAAGGCUUCAUAAGUGGAAGACAGACCCCAAAUUAAUAAUAAUGUGGGCUUUCCACCAAGAAAUCUGUGUCAAAUUUGAAUUCUCUCCAUCUAAUGCAGGAGAUUUGCUCACCAUGUAGGACCCAGGACCAUGAAACAUGGCCUUCAUCAUGUAUGAGAGACACCAGAGAAACAAUCUGGACAUAUUUUGGCAAGAUGAAUGUGUGGGCCGCACCCAGAAGCCAUUAUGUGCCCGGCUGUCUUCAAUAGAUCCAGAACAAGUGAUCGUGUUUGUGUUGGCCUACACCACCACCUCAAAAAAAAAAAACAAAAAUAGAACCACCACAAUGACCAGAGUUGGUAUUGUGGUAUAUGACAUCAGCCUCACAAACUUCCAAAUUGUGGUCCAAAUCUAAAUUUCCUGAAUUUCCUUCUCAUUGCUGACUUUGGCCUUCAGCCUUACCUGAUUAGAAACACCAAAGAAGCCAUUGGGUUAAGAAUGUCAUGACCCAAGAGUACAGACAUAACUUUAAUAAAAAUGUGUAAUGGAAAACCCUGAACUUCUUUCUCUGGAGGCAUGUUUGGUGGCAUGCUCAAAGACUAGACAUGCAUUCCUAUGUUUGUUCACAGGAGCCUACCUAGAAGAUGCCAGAAUUAUAACCUGGUGACUAUAGAUCCCUCAUAGGUCUAAAGCCUUGAAGUCAUCAGUCUUACUGCAUUUCCUAACAUUUUGUAUAUGGUUUUGAAUAAAUAUGAUGAAAUGCUA